This 510-nucleotide ribosomal RNA is filed under the name uncultured bacterium. RNAcentral describes it as "partial 16S ribosomal RNA". It matches the Rfam family "Bacterial small subunit ribosomal RNA", at positions 355 to 854 of the family's 1533-position model. The record is from RNAcentral.
UAGGGAAUCUUCCACAAUGGACGCAAGUCUGAUGGAGCAACGCCGCGUGAGUGAAGAAGGUCUUCGGAUCGUAAAGCUCUGUUGUUGGUGAAGAAGGAUAGAGGCAGUAACUGGUCUUUAUUUGACGGUAAUCAACCAGAAAGUCACGGCUAACUACGUGCCAGCAGCCGCGGUAAUACGUAGGUGGCAAGCGUUGUCCGGAUUUAUUGGGCGUAAAGCGAGCGCAGGCGGAAUGAUAAGUCUGAUGUGAAAGCCCACGGCCCAACCGUGGAACUGCAUCGGAAACUGUCAUUCUUGAGUGCAGAAGAGGAGAGUGGAACUCCAUGUGUAGCGGUGGAAUGCGUAGAUAUAUGGAAGAACACCAGUGGCGAAGGCGGCUCUCUGGUCUGCAACUGACGCUGAGGCUCGAAAGCAUGGGUAGCGAACAGGAUUAGAUACCCUGGUAGUCCAUGCUGUAAAACGAUGAGCGCUAGGUGUUGGGGGACUUUCCGGUCCUCAGUGCCGCAGCAA